Long non-coding RNA from Corvus hawaiiensis (hawaiian crow), 729 nucleotides. RefSeq lists it as uncharacterized. NCBI's taxonomy places the organism in Eukaryota, Metazoa, Chordata, Aves, Passeriformes, Corvidae. The record is from RefSeq and is a predicted model, not a curated record. The transcript is spliced from 3 exons.
CGCUCCACCUGGGGCAGCUUUUGAAUCUGUCCAGUGCAAGAGAGCCCACAAGCUCUCUGGGCAGCCGACUGCCAGGGGCAGGAGCCCUGGAGUGGCACUGCCUGAACAACCCCUUUCUGCCAACAGUGCCACCCUCGAUGGCUGCCCCAGGGCCUGGCAUUUGACCCUGCACUUGCUGCAGGAGCCCCUGCCCUGGUUGGGCUCUGACCAAAGGCUCGGACCCAUCUCAGAACCUCGGUUCCCAAGGGUGGCGUGGGACUGAGGCCAUCGCUGCCCCUAUUUUGGGUGCGCGUUGCUGAUGUCAGAAUGGCCAUUGUGACCCGUGCGACCAAGGCCACCAGAGGGAACGCUGGGCUCAGGCCGUGUGUCAGUGCGACCUGACAACGGGAGGAGAAGACGCAGCAGAGGAACAUCCACGGGAGACAGCAGUGUUCCUCGACGCGGUGACGGGAGGAGAAGGCGGACUGGAGCAGGGCUCACGCAGGGCUCACCAGGGAGUAGUGCCCUCGUGGCUCUGGGCCGGUUCUGCAAACUCCCCACACUCUUCUUUCUCCCACAGAGGGAGAGGACGAGCGCCUGGAGAAGGUCGCGGUGUUCCUGCACGGGGACUCAUCGCAGACCAGAACCAUGGCAGAAGGGAAGCAGGAGGCCUCUGAUGCCAGGGAGCCAGCAUGCCUGCUGUGCCGCCGCGCAGAGGCUGACCCGGACAUCUGCGGCGACAAACAGGAG